UAUCUCGUGUCUAUGUUUCUAGCCUCAACCACAAAGUAUCUCUAUGUCUUCUCUCAUCUUAUUCUACUAUAUAUUGUAUUUGAAUUGUAACAAUCAAGUGAGGACGCGCGAUAAGAAAAAUGGAAAAUAAAUAGGGAUAGCUUUUUCUUUGUGUGCAACCAAGCCGGAUAGUUAAAAGCCUUUACGGAACUUCCUCCAAGCAACUGCCAAGGCAAGUCCCAGUUUUUAAUCAUAUAUUGCUUAUAACUAUUGAAGAACCAAAAUAAUGUUAAUUACAUGCCUUACACUUACCCAAAGUUU
This is a long non-coding RNA of Arabidopsis thaliana (thale cress), 300 nucleotides long. RefSeq annotates it as other RNA. The transcript has 2 exons. The record is from RefSeq. Lineage: Eukaryota; Viridiplantae; Streptophyta; Magnoliopsida; Brassicales; Brassicaceae.